Molecule: long non-coding RNA, 338 nt
Organism: Cottoperca gobio
Lineage: Eukaryota; Metazoa; Chordata; Actinopteri; Perciformes; Bovichtidae
Exons: 6
Source: RefSeq, a predicted model, not a curated record
GGCCACUCCUAACAGUCUCUUUCCUCUUCAAACCGUCCGCGAGCACAAAGUCGAGCAGACAUUUAAAUCUGAACCUGCCGGUAUCAGGAUCUCUCCCUGUCCUCUGCAGCCAUGGCUGUGUGCAGACUGCAGGUUUGGGGUGAAGAUGGAAGUGCGAAACAUGACAACCUCCCAUGCAGGUGCUGGGUGACAUGAAGAUAAACUGGAGACUACAGCACAUGCAGGUAACUCAUGGCUGAGAUAAAGUGACCAGAUGAAGACUUCUCACGUCAAGGAAUCUGAAUGAGCUCCACAUCACUGGGGGGGGCUGCGCGGGCCAGCACGCAGACUGUGAAGGU